AGAUUUGAGCUAUACUCAAAUUUCUGUCUAAAUUUAUUAUCUAUGUCUCGCUCUCAUGAGUCACUUGCAGGAUAUCUUCGAUGGAUGGUAUGUGGAAGCUUGCAUCGUUUUGGCUAUUGUUCUCUAUAUCAUUAUCAGAGCUAGAAUCGAGUACAAGCACUCUUGUCAAUUUGAAAAGUUGAGCAAGGAGAAGAGUAACAUACAUCUAGAGGUCAUUAGAGGCGGCAGAAGAGUCAGGGUUUCUAUCUAUGAUAUUUUUGUGGGAGAUAUUGUACCCCUCAGGAAUGGUGUUCAGAUUAGCAGGUUCUAAAAGAUCUACAAAGAAAUUCGUUCUUGUUAUCUGGCUCAAAACUGAUUAAAGGCACUAGUACAAUGCUGGUGGAUAAAAAGGUUUUUGUGGAUUUUCAUGUUGGUGAUGUUAUUGCUUUGGCGGCUUCACGGCGACAAGAAAGACAGCAAGCAUCCAAGACAGUUCAAGGCUCUAUGGGACAUGAACUCUGGUGUGGCUGCAGCCUACUAAGCCUACAGAUUGUCCUGAAAGAUAUAAAUGAUACAUUGGAAAAGAUCAUAGAGAGUAUCAAAUAUGUUCAAGUUUCUGGAAAACGUGAGAUUUUGUUUGCAAAAUGUGUUGAAGCUGUUGGUCUACAGUUGAAAGCGGGCUUGAUUAUGGAUGUGAAAACUAGAUGAAACUCAACAUACAAGAUGCUUGAUAGGGCUCUCAAGUAUCGAGCUGCCUUUGGUAAUCUCAAAGUCAUUGAUAGGAGAAACUACAAGUUUCACCCUACAGAAGCUGAAUGGCACCGAUUGAACCAGAUUUGUGAGUUUUUUGGAGCCUUUUGAUGAAAUCACUAAUCUGAUCUCAGGUUCAACAUAUCUAACUUCAAACUUGUACUUCAUGCAAGUUUGGAAGAUCAACAAUUGUUUGAUAUCGAAUUCACAUAAUCAAGAUGAAGUCAUCAAAAGUAUGAUUAUCCCAAUGAGAGAAAGGUUUGAUAAGUAUUGGAAAUAGGUUAGUGAUGUCUUUGCAAUGACUACAGUGUUUGAUCCAAGGUUGAAGCUAACACUGGUAAAUUAUUGUUUUGAAAAGAACGACAAGUGUUCUGCUCAGAUAAAGAUUAAACAUUUGCGUGGUAAGCUUACUACUCUUUUUGAAUCUUAUGAGAAUAAGUUCAUUUUCACAUCAUCUUCUUCAGAGACACGUGAAACUAAUCAAAAAACUGAUGAGAAUGAAGGAAAAAAAAAAGAGUUUUGGCAACUAUGAUGAUUUUAUAAACUUCCGCAAACAAACUGUUGUUACUAGUGGAAAGUCUUCUUUGGAAAUGUAUCUAGAUGAUCCACCGAUAGACAUGAUAGAGUAUGAGAGUUUGGAUAUUUUAAAAUAUUGGAAAGAUAACUCUCAACGGUAUGGAGAACUGGCAUCAAUGGCUUGCGACCUCCUUAGUAUACCAAUCACAACGGUAGCAUCUGAAUCUUCUUUUUGUAUUGAAACUCGAGUUUUGAACAAGUACAAAAGCCGUCUUCUCCCAAAAAAAUGUUCAAGCAUUAAUAUGCUGCCGCAAUUGGUUAAAAGGUUUUGAAGCAUAUGAAAAUGAGGAGGAUGAAGAAUUUGAUGAAGAUGAGACAUUACCUUCUUUCCAAUCAAUUGUUGAUGAUGAAUCUUGAUUUGGUUGAAGAGACAUCUUGACCUUGAGAUCUAUGUUUUCAGCUUU
Molecule: non-coding RNA, 1709 nt
Organism: Camelina sativa (false flax)
Lineage: Eukaryota; Viridiplantae; Streptophyta; Magnoliopsida; Brassicales; Brassicaceae
Source: RefSeq, a predicted model, not a curated record